AUUGAACGCUGGCGGCAGGCUUAACACAUGCAAGUCGAGCGGGGUGAUGGUGCUUGCACUAUCACUUAGCGGCGGACGGGUGAGUAAUGCUUAGGAAUCUGCCUAUUAGUGGGGGACAACAUCUCGAAAGGGAUGCUAAUACCGCAUACGUCCUACGGGAGAAAGCAGGGGAUCACUUGUGACCUUGCGCUAAUAGAUGAGCCUAAGUCGGAUCAGCUAGUUGGUGGGGUAAAGGCCUACCAAGGCGACGAUCUGUAGCGGGUCUGAGAGGAUGAUCCGCCACACUGGGACUGAGACACGGCCCAGACUCCUACGGGAGGCAGCAGUGGGGAAUAUUGGACAAUGGGGGGAACCCUGAUCCAGCCAUGCCGCGUGUGUGAAGAAGGCUUUAUGGUUGUAAAGCACUUUAAGCGAGGAGGAGGCUCUUUUGGUUAAUACCCAGGAUGAGUGGACGUUACUCGCAGAAUAAGCACCGGCUAACUCUGUGCCAGCAGCCGCCGUAA
This 503-nucleotide ribosomal RNA is filed under the name uncultured bacterium. RNAcentral describes it as "partial 16S ribosomal RNA". It matches the Rfam family "Bacterial small subunit ribosomal RNA", at positions 30 to 523 of the family's 1533-position model. The record is from RNAcentral.